UAGGGAAUUUUCGGCAAUGGGCGAAAGCCUGACCGAGCAACGCCGCGUGAACGAAGAAGGUCUUCGGAUCGUAAAGUUCUGUUAUUGAGGAAGAGCGAUAUUUAUAGGGAAUGAUAAAUAAGAGACGGUACUCAAUGAGGAAGCCACGGCUAACUACGUGCC
Molecule: ribosomal RNA, 162 nt
Filed under: uncultured bacterium
Lineage: Bacteria
Description: partial 16S ribosomal RNA
Rfam family: Bacterial small subunit ribosomal RNA
Source: RNAcentral